This 443-nucleotide ribosomal RNA is filed under the name uncultured Gammaproteobacteria bacterium. RNAcentral describes it as "bacterial SSU rRNA". It matches the Rfam family "Bacterial small subunit ribosomal RNA", at positions 1090 to 1533 of the family's 1533-position model. Lineage: Bacteria; Pseudomonadati; Pseudomonadota; Gammaproteobacteria. The record is from RNAcentral.
GCACGAGCGCACCCUUGCCCUAUGUUGCCAGCGGAUAAUGCCGGGGACUCAUGGGGAACUGCCGGUGAUAAACCGGAGGAAGGUGGGGACGACGUCAAGUCAUCAUGGCCCUUACGCCCAGGGCUACACACGUGCUACAAUGGCCGGUACAAAGGGCUGCCAACCCGCGAGGGUGAGCGAAUCCCAAAAAGCCGGUCUAAGUUCGGAUUGUAGUCUGCAACUCGACUGCAUGAAGUCGGAAUCGCUAGUAAUCGUGUAUCAGCAACGAUACGGUGAAUACGUUCCCGGGCCUUGUACACACCGCCCGUCAAGCCAUGGAAGCCGGGAGUGCCCGUAGUCUGUGACCCAACCUAGUGAGGGAGCAGCCGAAGGUAAGUUCGGUGACUGGGGCUAAGUCGUAACAAGGUAGCCGCAGGGGAACCUGCGGCUGGAUCACCUCCUUU